Molecule: ribosomal RNA, 785 nt
Filed under: gamma proteobacterium 2.1.7_I
Lineage: Bacteria; Pseudomonadati; Pseudomonadota; Gammaproteobacteria
Description: bacterial SSU rRNA
Rfam family: Bacterial small subunit ribosomal RNA
Source: RNAcentral
UGAGAGCGGCGGACGGGUGAGUAAUGCCUAGGAAUCUGCCUGGUAGUGGGGGAUAACGUUCGGAAACGGACGCUAAUACCGCAUACGUCCUACGGGAGAAAGCAGGGGACCUUCGGGCCUUGCGCUAUCAGAUGAGCCUAGGUCGGAUUAGCUAGUUGGUGGGGUAAUGGCUCACCAAGGCGACGAUCCGUAACUGGUCUGAGAGGAUGAUCAGUCACACUGGAACUGAGACACGGUCCAGACUCCUACGGGAGGCAGCAGUGGGGAAUAUUGGACAAUGGGCGAAAGCCUGAUCCAGCCAUGCCGCGUGUGUGAAGAAGGUCUUCGGAUUGUAAAGCACUUUAAGUUGGGAGGAAGGGCAGUUGCCUAAUACGUAACUGUUUUGACGUUACCGACAGAAUAAGCACCGGCUAACUCUGUGCCAGCAGCCGCGGUAAUACAGAGGGUGCAAGCGUUAAUCGGAAUUACUGGGCGUAAAGCGCGCGUAGGUGGUUUGUUAAGUUGGAUGUGAAAUCCCCGGGCUCAACCUGGGAACUGCAUUCAAAACUGACUGACUAGAGUAUGGUAGAGGGUGGUGGAAUUUCCUGUGUAGCGGUGAAAUGCGUAGAUAUAGGAAGGAACACCAGUGGCGAAGGCGACCACCUGGACUAAUACUGACACUGAGGUGCGAAAGCGUGGGGAGCAAACAGGAUUAGAUACCCUGGUAGUCCACGCCGUAAACGAUGUCAACUAGCCGUUGGAAGCCUUGAGCUUUUAGUGGCGCAGCUAACGCAUUAAGUGACCGC